This 387-nucleotide ribosomal RNA is filed under the name uncultured bacterium. RNAcentral describes it as "bacterial SSU rRNA". It matches the Rfam family "Bacterial small subunit ribosomal RNA", at positions 28 to 417 of the family's 1533-position model. The record is from RNAcentral.
GACGAACGCUGGCGGCGUGCUUAACACAUGCAAGUCGAGCGGUAAGGCCCUUUCGGGGGUACACGAGCGGCGAACGGGUGAGUAACACGUGGGUGACCUGCCCUCAACUCUGGGAUAAGCCUGGGAAACCGGGUCUAAUACCGGAUAUGACUCCAUGACGCAUGUUGUGGGGUGGAAAGCCUUGUGCGGCUGAGGAUGGGCCCGCGGCCUAUCAGCUUGUUGGUGGGGUGAGGCCUACCAAGGCGACGACGGGUAGCCGGCCUGAGAGGGCGACCGGCCACACUGGGACUGAGACACGGCCCAGACUCCUACGGGAGGCAGCAGUGGGGAAUCUUGCGCAAUGGGCGAAAGCCUGACGCAGCGACGCCGCGUGAGGGAUGACGGCCU